UACGUAGGGUGCGAGCGUUAUUCGGAUUUAUUGGGCGUAAAGCGUGCGUAGGCGGCUGUUUAAGUCUGGUGUUAAAGCUAGGGGCUCAACCCCUGUGGUGCAUCGGAUACUGGGCAGCUUGAGUGCGGUAGGGGAAGGUGGAAUUCCGAGUGUAGCGGUGAAAUGCGUAGAUAUUCGGAAGAACACCGGUGGCGAAGGCGACCUUCUGGGCCGCAACUGACGCUGAGGCACGAAAGCCUGGGGAGCGAACGGG
RNAcentral lists this ribosomal RNA (253 nucleotides) under uncultured bacterium. Its description in RNAcentral is "partial 16S ribosomal RNA". It matches the Rfam family "Bacterial small subunit ribosomal RNA", at positions 524 to 776 of the family's 1533-position model. The record is from RNAcentral.